AAUGUGGGUAUUUUCUUGUGAAAUUCAGAUCUAUUUUGGAGAAAACAAAGUCCAUUCACCAUAAUAGUUGCAUAAAACACUACAGUUUAUUAAGUCAGUGACUGAGUCAAAUGUACAACUAAAUUUAUGAAACAGGUUCAAGAAAAGCAUACUCAAUGUUUUCAUAUUAGGGAAGGAUUGUGUCUUAUUGUCAAAGUUUAAGUACUGGCUCGUGU
Non-coding RNA from Tinamus guttatus (white-throated tinamou), 215 nucleotides. NCBI's taxonomy places the organism in Eukaryota, Metazoa, Chordata, Aves, Tinamiformes, Tinamidae. The record is from RefSeq and is a predicted model, not a curated record.